Molecule: ribosomal RNA, 253 nt
Filed under: uncultured bacterium
Lineage: Bacteria
Description: partial 16S ribosomal RNA
Rfam family: Bacterial small subunit ribosomal RNA
Source: RNAcentral
UACGGGGGGGGCAAGCGUUGUUCGGAAUUACUGGGCGUAAAGCGCGCGCAGGCGGUCCUUUAAGUCUGAUGUGAAAUCCCACGGCUCAACCGUGGAAGGUCAUUGGAAACUGGGGGACUUGAGUACAGAAGAGGAAAGCGGAAUUCCAAGUGUAGCGGUGAAAUGCGUAGAGAUUUGGAGGAACACCAGUGGCGAAGGCGGCUUUCUGGUCUGUAACUGACGCUGAGGCGCGAAAGCGUGGGGAGCAAACAGG